This 607-nucleotide ribosomal RNA is filed under the name uncultured Latescibacterota bacterium. RNAcentral's name for it is "uncultured Latescibacteria bacterium partial 16S ribosomal RNA". It matches the Rfam family "Bacterial small subunit ribosomal RNA", at positions 136 to 716 of the family's 1533-position model. The record is from RNAcentral. Lineage: Bacteria; Pseudomonadati; Candidatus Latescibacterota.
GUGGGGGAUAACACUCNCAACGGNGUGCUAAUACCGCAUGUGGUGAGCGGCCCGAAUGAGCAGGUCACUGAAGAUGGCCUCUGUUUACAAGCUAUCGCUUCUGGAUGGUCUCGCGUCCGAUUAGCUAGUUGGUGAGGUAAUGGCUNACCAAGGCUACGAUCGGNAGNCUGGUNUGAGAGGAUGGACAUGNCACACUGGGACUGAUAUACGGGCCAGACUCNUACGGGAGGCAGCAGNANAGAGGCUNNGGCAAUGGGGGAAACCCUGACCAAGNGACGNCGGGUGGGGGAUGAAGGNCCUUGGGUUGUAAACCCCUUUCGACCGGGAAGAAUGAUNGCCGGGUGAACAAUCCGGUGGUUUGACAGGUACCGGUGGAAGAAGCUCCGGCUAACUCCGUGCCAGCAGCCGCGGUAACACGGNGGGAGCGAGCGUUGUUCNGAAUCACUGGGCGUAAAGGGCGUGUANGCGGUUNNGUAAGUGGGAUGUGAAAAGCCCACGGCUNACCCGGGGAACGUCAUCUNAUACUGUUGGACUUGAAUGCNNGAGAGGAUGGAAGAAUUACUGGUGUAACGGUAAAUGCGUACAUUUCAGGAGGAACACCCGGUGG